GUUGUUGGUGGUGGUGGUUUUUGUUUUUAUUUUUAUUUUUUUCCUUACUCCAGAGAUUUUUGGUUUGAUCUGUAGUCAGCAUCACAGUCUUCUCUGCUAAGUCUUUGGUACGUGUCACAUGAUUUAUAAUGGCCCUGGACAAAAUGUCUCCAUUUGAAAUACACCCCACAGCCACAGCAAGUGCUUGGAAGAUGUGGUGCCAGGCAUACAUGUGGUGCUUUCUGCACAUAAGUACUGUAAUGAGUAAGUACUGCACCCAAGGUUUUUUUGAUUGCUUAGGACAGCCUUGAUUUGUUUCUGAUUACUGUACUAAUUUUUCUUAAAAUAGUUUUGAAUCACAGUUGCUGUACCUCCCUUCCACACCUAUCAGAAUUCUCUUACUUUGUUUUAUCCUCAAUUAUUGCAAUUUUCUCCUUUUUUUUGUGGCCAGUUGCUGUUUCACUUUUGUGUGGGCAGGAAAAGAGGUUUUGUGCUGACAGUGUUGAUUAAUCAGUAGGGCCACGUGUUGGGAUAUUUUUAGAAGGGAAAAAAAAAGUUUUGAACGUUUUUUUUCUGUGGAAAAGUGAACAGAUGAAAAUGUUGCAAUGAGAAUUAAUACUCUGGUAACCAUUCUCAAAAUCAAAUAAUUAUUUGCUGCAAAGAACAGAUGAAAUUAAAAUAAUUUUGAAAAUUUCCCCAGUGCCUAUAAAACUCCUUUGGUUCCGGGUGUUUUAAGACAGUUCUGGUAAUACAGACUGGAAAGUGAAGGAAUGCAUACAGACCAUGUAAUUCUCUGUGAAAACAGAGAACAGUGAGACUGAUAUUUCCAUAGCCUGAUUUCUUAAGAAACCUUCUCUAGAAGGAAUUGGAAAUGAGUUUGCAGGACUCAGCCAAAGUGGAAAUUAAAAGUAACCACAACAAAGAUCCCAGAAUGCAAAACCUAUUUCAGUACAUAACAUCCCCAUGAAUGCUAGACAGAAAGGGCAAGACUUUCUUAAUUAAAGACUUUAAGACUUUUUUAAUUAAAAUGAGAGUAUCUGAAUUAUUUUGCAUGGAGAACUCUAACUACACUCUGUAUUGUGACCAUUAGCAAAAAGUAUGCAGUUUGCUAAGACACUUCAGUUUACGUAGCCCUUAAAGUCCCAGAAAUUUAACAAAGCCUUCUCAUGUGGGUGAGGGUUAAAGUGUACCAGACAGAUCUUACACUUCUAACUCCCACCUGCAUAUUUUCCUGAUGCUUUGCUCUGAGCCAGCUCCCUGGCAAGGCAAGUCCUCAUCACCUGGUGGCCAUUCUCCAGAGUACUGUGUCACUGGAGUACUCUACAAGAUCAAUGAUCCAAAACUGGCCAUGGUGUCUGUGCAUGAGCUUCUGCCAGCCAGCUCCUCCCUUCAGGGAUGCAGCAUUUCAGGUUUGGCUAUUGCAAGCAGAUUAGCAAAACUCUGAACUGCUUCAUUUUGCACGUGUUACUGGGGCUUCUGGCACUGUUAGAGUGCUGCAUUGAUAAAGAUGUUUUCUGGGGCAGCUAGCGAAUUACAACUCCUCCAGAUAGACCUUUUGCACAACAAAGGCAUACAGUACUUUUCUUAUAAUAGCUGUCACCUUGUUAACCAGAAAGCCACAAUUAGAGUUUGUGUUUCAGCAUCAGAUGCAGAGUACCUUCAGUCUUUCAUACAACAUCCAAGAAGGGGUCAGAAGAUUCCCAGCAGAGCAGGUGUGUUGGCACCCUUUUUCUUCUUUUUCUAUUUCAUCAUGCAGGACUUAGAAAGCUCUUUCUCCCUGCAGUUAGAAAAUUCACACAGACACAAAU
Molecule: long non-coding RNA, 1787 nt
Organism: Oxyura jamaicensis (ruddy duck)
Lineage: Eukaryota; Metazoa; Chordata; Aves; Anseriformes; Anatidae
Exons: 2
Source: RefSeq, a predicted model, not a curated record